This 253-nucleotide ribosomal RNA is filed under the name uncultured bacterium. RNAcentral describes it as "partial 16S ribosomal RNA". It matches the Rfam family "Bacterial small subunit ribosomal RNA", at positions 524 to 776 of the family's 1533-position model. The record is from RNAcentral.
UACAGAGGGUGCGAGCGUUGUUCGGAUUCACUGGGCGUAAAGGGUGCGUAGGCGGUCGGGUAAGUCUGAUGUGAAAUCUCACAGCUUAACUGUGAAACUGCAUUGGAUACUAUCCGGCUCGAGGAAUGGAGGGGAGACUGGAAUACUUGGUGUAGCAGUGAAAUGCGUAGAUAUCAAGUGGAACACCAGUGGCGAAGGCGAGUCUCUGGACAUUUCCUGACGCUGAGGCACGAAAGCCAGGGGAGCAAACGGG